CCUACGGGUGGCAGCAGUGAGGAAUAUUGGUCAAUGGACGAAAGUCUGAACCAGCCAAGUCGCGUGAGGGAUGACUGCCCUAUGGGUUGUAAACUUCUUUUAUAUGGGAGUAAAAUGUUCCACGUGUUGGGUUUUGUAUGUACCAUAUGAGUAAGGAACGGCUAACUCCGUGCCAGCAGCCGCGGUAAUACGGAGGGUCCGAGCGUUAUCCGGAUUUAUUGGGUUUAAAGGGAGCGUAGGUGGAAUUGUAAGUCAAUUGGGAAAGUUUGCGGCUCAACCGUAAAAUUGCAGUUGAAACUGGCAGUCUUGAGUACAGUAGAGGUGGGCGGAAUUCGUGGUGUAGCGGUGAAAUGCUUAGAUAUCACGAAGAACUCCGAUUGCGAAGGCAGCUCACUGGACUGCAACUGACGCUGAGGCUCGAAAGUGUGGGUAUCAAACAGGAUUAGAUACCCGUGUAGUC
RNAcentral lists this ribosomal RNA (460 nucleotides) under uncultured bacterium. RNAcentral's name for it is "partial 16S ribosomal RNA". It matches the Rfam family "Bacterial small subunit ribosomal RNA", at positions 338 to 795 of the family's 1533-position model. The record is from RNAcentral.